Molecule: long non-coding RNA, 2725 nt
Filed under: Homo sapiens (human)
Lineage: Eukaryota; Metazoa; Chordata; Mammalia; Primates; Hominidae
Description: HSALNT0295115
Source: RNAcentral
UCCUGUUUGCUAUUGUUUUUUGUGGAUGUAUGUCUGUGUCUUUGCACUGAAGGAUUGGUUAUGUAUUCGUCUUCCUUGUCUGACUUGUUUAGGUUUUUACUGGAUAUAUUUGCUUAGAGGUUGUUUAUUGCCACGCCAUUGCCUCCUUUUCAGUUCUAGAUGGCACCUUAAUCCCAGGUUCACCUCAGUUCUAAUAAACAAUCAGAGUGCUGCCCUUUGCUAAUGGGAGAGGUCCAAAAGGGGAUGUCCCAGCAAUGUAGGAAGUCUAGUUAGGGGAUCAUGCCCAGGGGACAUGUGGGACAAAUUUCUGACAGUGUUGUGCUGCUGAAUAGCCAAUCUGAUUUGGCAUCUCCUUUGGCUGAGUGACACAGCAGAGUUUCCAGGGCUGGGGAUGGUAGACAUCGCUAAGCUCCUUUUGAAAAGUCUGCCCACCAAUACUUCACCAGGGCUUGAAUCAUUUUAUCAACUCCAUGAUGUAAGGAUGACUUAUCAAGAAACUUUCACACAGCACAGGUAUGCACAACAGAGUUGAAGAGCUUGAAAUGCAGAGAGUACAUCUUGGAUCUGAGAGUACCCUUGAGCUCCGUGUUCAGCAAGAAAGCAGUGAGCGCCAUGGGCUCUGUGGUACUGGCAUCAGGUUACUCACCUGUCUUGGAGCUUAUCAACGAUCUACUUUACAUCUCAUAUUUGAUACCAGAAACUGCUAAAAAUAAAAUCAGAUCAAGUAAAACAGGAAUAAAGGGGUUUAUUGUGCCUACGGCAUCAGGUUACUCACCUGCCUUGGAGCUUAUCAAGGAUCUAGUUUACAUCUCAUAUUUGACACCAGAAACUGUUAAAAAUAAAAUAAAUAAAUAAAUAAAUAAAUAAAAAUAAAAAAUGAGAAAAUAAAGUCAGAUCAAGUAAAACAGGAAGAUAGGAGUUUAUUGUGCCUACCAAAGAACAUUUCAAAAACCAAGAGAUUUCAAACUGAACGUGUUAAGAAGCUCAUCUCACAAGUGUUACAGCACAGCUUAUAGGUUUAUAGCAUCUGUGAGAAAGACAUUGAACUCUAUUGUAAUUGGCUACGAUAAAUUUGUACCCCUUUUAGGGCACAUAGAGCUGUAGGAGCUUAUUUUUCUGUAGCUGAUUGACUCAACUUUAUCAUACUGACAUGGAAGAAAGGCUUAUGGUUUGUUUACGGUUAGAGCUUGCAUUUCAGAGAGAUCAACAUAGCUCACAUUUUGUUAUGGUUAUGGUUGGUUGUUCUGAGUGUAUAUCCAAACUGUGGCCUUCGUUUUCAAUUUUUUUUUAACAUCCCUUAACAAUGAGAUGCCAUGCAGAGAGAGAAAGAGAGAGGCCAAGGAGCAGUGAGGUGCCAGAUUUGUGAGGGACCCUUCUUGGAGCUUUCAGGCAAGGCAAGCCUCCAGCUGAGUACCACACAGUGAUCCAGUUGAUGCCACUUGGAGCAGAAAAACUGCCCAGCUAAGGUCUGCCCAAACUUCUGGCCCACGUAACUGUGAGGUAUAAUAAAAUUGCUGUUGUUGUAAGCCACUAAGCUUUGGGGUAGCUUAUGUCACCACAGUAAAUAAUCCAAACAUUCUCCUCUAAACUUAGAUUGUCUAUAGGAUUAAUGUGACAAGUAAUAAGUUAUAGCCUUGUGACUUGACCUCCACUGUUGGCUUAAAUUUCAAUUUAAAUAUUUUAUUGUUAUUCAGUUUGUUGUAUGAGUACAUCUUCUGUCCCAGUGAGAUUACAAUACUUUUUUAUUACCUACAAAUAGUCUUAUAUAUAGUAUUUUUGGUGAACUCUGCUUUUAUUCUUUAGAAAAUUAGUAUAGGAAAAACUCACCUUUUUUUAACCGAAAUUUGUGUUGUGUUUAUAUAAUGCUACAAACAUCUUUAUUUAUUUUUCCUUUUAGUAUAUGAGCCAUCAUUGAAUAAAAGUGAGUGACAAGGUGAUGGGAAAAUGUGGAAAUGAGAGUGGGAAUGUGGAUGUAGGUUAUCUCUUAUUAAAAAUAAUAUUUGAUUAAAAAUCACUAGAGAAAAACAUAUGUCGGCCACUGAGUGGUAUAUAAAGUAAUAAAAUAAAGGUGAGAAUUUACAAAUGAUCCAUUAGUAGAAAACAAACAAUAAAAAAAACCAAAAAUACAAACACAAGUCCUGGGAUAGUAUAGCCAAAAUUCUGUGAUGACCCCCAAGAUUACUGACUUAUAUAAUAUAUAUCAUAUUUUAUAAUAUAUAUCAUAACUUAUAUAAUUCAUUCCCCUUGAGCAUGGAAAGGCCUGUGAAUAUAUUGGGGUAGUCACUCCUUGAUUAGGUUAUAUUUGAUAAGGUUCCAUUUUAGCCAGCUGGAUGGAGAAAUUCCUAGUGAGAGAGAUGCCCUCAUGCUUGUCUGGAAGAAGUAAAUACCCACAUUGUGAAAUGCCUAUGAAAAGGGGUAACCUUCAAAAGCUGAGCACCUUAGUCCUACAACCCCAAGGAACUGAAUUCUGCCAACAACUAAUGAACUUAGAAGAGGCCCCCAAAGUCUCAGAUGAGAUCACAGCCUGAGCUAACACCUUGAUUGCAGUCUGUUGAGACUCGAGCAUAACACCCAGUAACUGUGCCUGAACUCUUUACUCAUAAAAACUGUCAGAUCAUAAAUUUCUGUUGUCUAAAGCCACUAAGUUAGUGAUAAUUUGUGACACAGCAAUAGAAAACUAAUAGAGUAUGAUUCUACUUAUACUGUAAAAAAAAAAAAAAAAAAA